UACGUAGGGUGCAAGCGUUGUCCGGAAUUAUUGGGCGUAAAGAGCUCGUAGGCGGUUUGUCGCGUCGAAUGUGAAAACCCGGGGCUCAACCCCGGGCCUGCAUUCGAUACGGGCAGACUAGAGUUCGGUAGGGGAGUCUGGAAUUCCUGGUGUAGCGGUGAAAUGCGCAGAUAUCAGGAAGAACACCCGUGGCGAAGGCGGCUCACUGGGACGGUACUGACGCUGAGACGCGAAAGCGUGGGGAGCGAACAGG
This 253-nucleotide ribosomal RNA is filed under the name uncultured bacterium. RNAcentral describes it as "partial 16S ribosomal RNA". It matches the Rfam family "Bacterial small subunit ribosomal RNA", at positions 524 to 776 of the family's 1533-position model. The record is from RNAcentral.